AGAGUUUGAUCAUGGCUCAGGAUGAACGCUAGCGGCAGGCCUAAUACAUGCAAGCCGAACGGCAAGCUUGGUAGCAAUAUCGAGCCUAGAGUGGCGUAAGGGUGCGUAACACGUAUGCAAUCUGCCCGCAACAGGAGGAUAGCUCCCCGAAAGGGGAAUUAAUACUCCAUAACACCAUUUGAGGGCAUCUGAAGAUGGUUAAACUACAAGGGGUUGCGGAUGAGCAUGCGGUUGAUUAGCUAGUUGGCGGGGUAACGGCCCACCAAGGCGAUGAUCAAUAGGGGAACUGAGAGGUUUAUCCCCCACACUGGCACUGAGAUACGGGCCAGACUCCUACGGGAGGCAGCAGUAGGGAAUAUUGGACAAUGGGCGAGAGCCUGAUCCAGCCAUGCCGCGUGCAGGAAGAAGGCCUUCUGGGUUGUAAACUGCUUUUGCCAGGGGAUAAAAAGUCCCUGCGGGGAAAAUUGAAGGUACCUGGUGAAUAAGCCACGGCUAACUACGUGCCAGCAGCCGCGGUAAUACGUAGGUGGCAAGCGUUGUCCGGAUUUAUUGGGUUUAAAGGGUGCGUAGGCGGUUUCAUAAGUCAGUGGUGAAAUACGGCAGCUCAACUGUCGAGGUGCCAUUGAUACUGUGAGACUUGAGUACAGACGAGGUAGGCGGAAUUGACGGUGUAGCGGUGAAAUGCUUAGAUAUCGUCAAGAACACCGAUAGCGAAGGCAGCUUACUAGGCUGUAACUGACGCUGAGGCACGAAAGUGUGGGGAUCAAACAGGAUUAGAUACCCUAGUAGUCC
RNAcentral lists this ribosomal RNA (792 nucleotides) under uncultured bacterium. RNAcentral describes it as "bacterial SSU rRNA". It matches the Rfam family "Bacterial small subunit ribosomal RNA", at positions 8 to 796 of the family's 1533-position model. The record is from RNAcentral.